RNAcentral lists this ribosomal RNA (472 nucleotides) under uncultured bacterium. Its description in RNAcentral is "partial 16S ribosomal RNA". It matches the Rfam family "Bacterial small subunit ribosomal RNA", at positions 30 to 507 of the family's 1533-position model. The record is from RNAcentral.
GUGAACGCUGGCGGCGUGCCUAAGACAUGCCAGUCGAGCGGGCCGCGGGGUUUUACUCCGUGGUCAGCGGCGGACGGGUGAGUAACGCGUGGGUGACCUACCCGGAAGAGGGGGACAACCCGGGGAAACUCGGGCUAAUCCCCCAUGUGGACCCGCCCCUUGGGGUGUGUCCAAAGGGCUUUGCCCGCUUCCGGAUGGGCCCGCGUCCCAUCAGCUAGUUGGUGGGGUAAUGGCCCACCAAGGCGACGACGGGUAGCCGGCCUGAGAGGGUGGCCGGCCAAAGGGGCACUGGGACACGGGCCCCACUCCUACGGGGGGCAGCAGUUAGGAAUCUUCCGCAAUGGGCGCAAGCCUGACGGAGCGACGCCGCGGGGAGGAAGAAGCCCUUCGGGGUGUAAACUCCUGAACCCGGGACGAAACCCCCGACGAGGGGACUGACGGUACCGGGGUAAUAGCGCCGGCCAACUCCGUG